UCCCAGUUCGGAUUGCAGGCUGAAACCCGCCUGUAUGAAGUUGGAAUCGCUAGUAAUCGCGGAUCAGCAUGCCGCGGUGAAUACGUUCCCGGGCCUUGUACACACCGCCCGUCACACCAUGAGAGUCGGGAACACCCGAAGUCCGUAGUCUAACCGAAAGGGGGCGCGGCCGAAGGUGGGUUCGAUAAUUGGGGUGAAGUCGUAACAAGGUAUC
This 214-nucleotide ribosomal RNA is filed under the name uncultured bacterium. RNAcentral describes it as "partial 16S ribosomal RNA". It matches the Rfam family "Bacterial small subunit ribosomal RNA", at positions 1286 to 1500 of the family's 1533-position model. The record is from RNAcentral.